CUCUCUGUAUCGUGUACAAAGGGUCUCAGUGUCAUUGUCAGGUGUAGUUCCUGAAACUGCAGGGCAUUUCAGCUCCCACAGUCCUUCUCGGCAUCUCAACCAAAAAUCUUUUAACGUGAGGAUGAAAUCUGGGGAGUCAAAGUACAGGUCUCGAAACUGCCACUGACCAAUGCAUUUAGCUGUACAGACACAUGAAAAUACAAGAAAAAGACGUAAAGUUAACACAUAUAUAUAUAUAUGUAUCUGGGGAGUCAAAGUACAGGUCUCGAAACUGCCACUGACCAGUGCAUUUAGCUGUACAGACACAUUAAAAAAAAUACAAGAAAAAGACGUAAAGUUAACAUAUAUAUAUAUAUAUAUAUAUAUAUAUAUAUAUCUGGGGAGUCAAAGUACAGGUCUCAAAACUGCCACUGACCAGUGCAUUUAGCUGUACAGACACAUGAAAAUACAAGAAAAAGACUUAAAGUUAACAUAUAUAUAUAUAUGUAUCUGGGGAGUCAAAGUACAGGUCUUGAAACUGCCACUGACCAGUGCAUUUAGCUGUACAGACACAUGAAAAUACAAGAAAAAGACGUAAAGUUAACAUAUAUAUAUAUAUAUAUA
Long non-coding RNA from Labeo rohita (rohu), 603 nucleotides. RefSeq lists it as uncharacterized. The record is from RefSeq and is a predicted model, not a curated record. The transcript has 4 exons. NCBI's taxonomy places the organism in Eukaryota, Metazoa, Chordata, Actinopteri, Cypriniformes, Cyprinidae.